This 394-nucleotide ribosomal RNA is filed under the name uncultured bacterium. RNAcentral describes it as "bacterial SSU rRNA". It matches the Rfam family "Bacterial small subunit ribosomal RNA", at positions 28 to 424 of the family's 1533-position model. The record is from RNAcentral.
GACGAACGCUGGCGGCGUGCUUAACACAUGCAAGUCGAGCGGUAAGGCCCUUUCGGGGGUACGACGAGCGGCGAACGGGUGAGUAACACGUGGGUGACCUGCCCUCAGCUCUGGGGAUAAGCCUGGGAAACCGGGUCUAAUACCGGAUAUGACUCCAUGACGCAUGUUGUGGGGUGGAAAGCCUUGUGCGGCUGAGGAUGGGCCCGCGGCCUAUCAGCUUGUUGGUGGGGUGAUGGCCUACCAAGGCGACGACGGGUAGCCGGCCUGAGAGGGCGACCGGCCACACUGGGACUGAGACACGGCCCAGACUCCUACGGGAGGCAGCAGUGGGGAAUAUUGCGCAAUGGGCGGAAGCCUGACGCAGCGACGCCGCGUGGGGAUGACGGCCUCGGUU